AUGGACUACCCGGUGAUACAAUAUGCGGACAAUACAAUUUUGGCCAUGCAUGCAUGCCCUCGUCAAGCAGCUAUCGUAAAAGAGAUCCUCACGGACUACGCGUCCUCCAUCGGCCUCCGGAUCAACUUCCAUAAAUCCACGCUCAUCCCGAUCAAUCUCUCCCAGGAAUCAGCCCUUGCCCUCGCACGUUUAUUUGGCUGUUCGGUUGGGUCUCUGCCUUUCACCUACCUUGGACUACCCCUUGGCACGACCAAGCCCACCGUCCUGGACCUUAUGCCACUUGUUUGCAGUGCAGAACGCCGUCUUACAUCAACGAUCUCCAUGAUGUCCUACGGGGGUAAACUCUCUUGGCUUAAUGCAACUGUCGCGUCCCUCCUCAUCUAUGCCAUGUGCACACUCAAAUUUCCCCCAAAACUGGUUGAGAUGCUUGAUAAAAUCCGAAGAUGCCUUUGGACCAAGAAAACUGAGCAGGGUGACAAAUGCAACUCUCUUGCGGCCUGGGAUAUGGUUUGCAAGCCCAAAAGGCAUGGAGGACUUGGGUUAUUAACAUCGAAAUACAGAAUGAUGCACUGCUUAUGA
RNAcentral lists this ribosomal RNA (579 nucleotides) under Triticum aestivum (bread wheat). RNAcentral's name for it is "partial small subunit ribosomal RNA". Lineage: Eukaryota; Viridiplantae; Streptophyta; Magnoliopsida; Poales; Poaceae. The record is from RNAcentral.